RNAcentral lists this transfer RNA (68 nucleotides) under Marmota monax (woodchuck). RNAcentral describes it as "tRNA.Ala". Lineage: Eukaryota; Metazoa; Chordata; Mammalia; Rodentia; Sciuridae. The record is from RNAcentral.
GGAUGUGGCUCAAGUGGUAGCGCGCUCGCCUAGCACGCGUGAGGCUCUGGGUUUGAUUCUCAGCACCA